This 242-nucleotide ribosomal RNA is filed under the name uncultured bacterium. Its description in RNAcentral is "partial small subunit ribosomal RNA". It matches the Rfam family "Bacterial small subunit ribosomal RNA", at positions 26 to 285 of the family's 1533-position model. The record is from RNAcentral.
AGAAUCAACGCUGGCGGCGUGCCUAACACAUGCAAGUCGCACGAGAAAGGGUAGCAAUACCUGAGUACAGUGGCGCACGGGUGAGUAACACGUGAAUAAUCUACCUCCGGAGUGGGGAAUAACCUAGGGAACCUGGGCUAAUACCGCAUAACACUUACGAGUCAAAGCAGCAAUGCGCUUGGAGAGGAGUUCGCGGCAGAUUAGCUAGUUGGUGGGUAAUGGCCCACAGGCGAUGAUCUGUA